GAAAGAUAGAAUACAUUUUUAUUCUAACAAUAACACACUGGAUUUGAGUAGAAUGCAAGUCAGCUGAUAAUAUGGACAGUUUGGUACAGAACAAAGUAAUGGUGUGGUGGGCUACCACAGUGUGAUACAAAACAAGGGUAAAGUACAGAAUAGUUAAGAAUAGAUUCUAUCUGUCAUUUUAUCGUACAGCCUGUAAAACCUUUAAACCUUUUCAACACCUUUUCAAAAUUUUCUUUCAAGCCCACUAAGUUUGUCUUGACUAACUGUACUUGUCUAGUAGUAAAAAUGUAGGACUUGCAGUAAAGUUUGCCAAAUGUCCAUUUCCUGAUGUGAAUUGACUUGCUUGUUCCACCUAAUUUUCUCUUCUUGUCCUUCACAGCAACAGUUUAAAAACAACAAAGAAAGUGUUUUGUGGAAUCUGACAUCAUCUCUGCCUUACGAGUUGCGAAUACGUUGUGAUCCCACCAAUGAGUGUGUACAGUGUCCUCGUAGUGAGGUCAUCGUGGUUCCACCGGAACUCACAGAUGCACCAUCAAUCCAGCUGGAGAUUCAAGACCAUAUACAAAAUCGUUUUAUAUCACCAGGACAGAGAAAAGUAGUCGUGAAGUGGGAGUAUGCAAACAGUGAGGCUGUGGCUUACUACAAUGUGACAGUGAGGAAAGUAUCCGGGGAAUUUAGCAAUCAGGACAGUUUCAGAACUGAAGAUUCAUCUCUCACCAUGAUCCUGUCUUACUCUGUAUACAACAUCAGUAUCAGAGCUUUAAACACUGCUGGAUCAUCUCCUGUUUCCAGUAUAGCCACUGAGCAAAUGGAUGAAUGGAGGGAUUCAUUUGGGCCAUUCAGUGUCAACAUAACCAGCCACAACCAUUUUAGUCUGUCCUGGAACAGGUCCGUCUCAAGUGUUUGUUACUCUGUGGAGUGGUGGGCCAAAGAACAGAUACCAACUUUUUGUACAUUCUACGAAAAGCAGACACGCAAAGAAAUAACUGGGAAAACUGAAACCUAUAGGAGCAUAGGACGUGACGUGUGGCCAACAGUUUUUCAGCCAUAUACAAGAUAUUAUUUCGUCCUGCACACCAGACCGUACCCAGACACCUGCAACAUGAAGAAUGUAAACAACAGUGAGACGACCUAUGGCACAGCCCAAGCUUACUUCACUGAAGGAAGUCCUAUCAGUGCUCCUGGGAAUGUGAGCAUUUUUAAUAUUACCCGGCAUUCCUCAGUAAUCACAUGGUGCCCCGUGUCUGAGGAAGACCUGCGUGGAUUCUUAUUAGGCUACUACAUCUACUUGACAUGGGAAAAUAAUGAAACAUCCUUCAAAGUGGAUCCCAGCGUAAACAGUUAUGAGCUGCAGAAUCUUGAAAGCAACAGUGCGUACCGCGUGCAGCUGUCUGCAUUUACAGCGGCUGGAGAAGGAGAGCGAAGUGAUUUCAAACACUUUGUCACAAACCUACUAGAAUUCACAGCUUUGAUCAGCAUUAUAGCCGCGGUUGUUGUGGGAAUAAUAAUUCUUUUACUAGCAGUUCACCUCAGCUGUCGACUUCUGCACAGACCAAAUCCUGAGAAUAGCAACGCUGUUCAGAAAACUGAAAUUGUCUAUGAUCUGGGUAUCCUGGAGCCACUGAACAGACAGAGGUUAGAGGAAAGUGAGGGAUGUGAUUACACUGCAGUCCAGUACAGUGUUUGUCGUUGGGAGCAAGAGGGAGGCAUCUCCUCUCUGUAGCCCUCCCACUGCUCAGGCUGGUGUGCCCACCACCCUUCUCCUCAGUGAAGAUGAGGACAGCCCAUCCAUCCCGGAGCAGAUCCCACCACCUGACAUCCCAACACAAGUCCUUCAAGGGGCGUUUCUAGGAUUUUCAUUUUAGGGGGGCUCAGCCCCCAACAAGGGUAUGAUUAAAAAAAUAUAUUAUUUGAGGUAGGGUAGGGUAGGGUUGUAUACUACUAACCUUAUUGUAAUCCACUAUUCCAUUGUAUUCCCUGUAUUUCAUAUAUGGGAGUAGGAGUACUGACUGAGCCAUAUACAACACUGUAAAACAUUUUUGAAAAAUGUAGAUGUGACCAGUCACUAGAAAAUUUUGAGUUGGGAAUGUAGAUUUUUUUUACAAUGAAGACUUCCUGAUUCAUUAUUAGGACAUUCAUGUUUAUCCUUUGACGAUACCACUGUUUUUUCUUAUGAAAUGUACGUGGAAAUUGGCAGACAAUUAAAACAACAUAAGGGUUCAAUGACUGCAAUUAAUCUUGUGAACACAGUGGUAUUGUGUGUGAGAGGCUGUCUACGUUCUAUUCUCAUUUUUUGAAAAAUUUAGAUGUGACCAGUCAUUAGAAAAUUUUGAGUUGGGAAUGUAGAUUUUUUUUACAAUGAAGACUUCCUGAUUCAUUAUUAGGACAUUCAUGUUUAUCCUUUGACGAUACCACUGUUUUUUCUUAUGAAAUGUACGUGGAAAUUGGCAGACAAUUAAAACAACAUAAGGGUUCAAUGACUGCAAUUAAUCUUGUGAACACAGUGGUAUUGUGUGUGAGAGGCUGUCUACGUUCUAUUCUCACCUGACUUGCUCAUUUGCAGACCUACUCCCGCACUACAAGAAAAAAUGUUGUAUAUCCAUCUACAAUGAAAUAUAUAUAUAUUAGCCUUUAUAAUCAACAAUACGGUUGGUUAUACAUCAAGUCACCCCCUGAAAAUUUAUUUCAUUUCAAAUCAUUUAACUAACCAGCUAAUAUUCAUUAAGAAUACAGACAAAACAUGUAUUAAUGCAAUUGUCUAUUGGCAAUAUGUUUAAUCUAUUCUAUAUUUAUUUCUAUUUAUUAAAAAUAACAACAUGAAUUAUCAUGGCACUUCUAUAAAUCAAUUACUUAAAAAAAAAUCACAAAUCCCUUUAAUCUACUCUUACUCUAAUAUAUGUAUCAUGAUACACUAUGAUUCAUUAUUACUUAAUACAAAAAUAUAUUUAAAAAUACAAAACAAAAUAACUCCACAUGAUGUUUCUCUCUCUGUGCCAUUUAGUGCUCUCAGACGUGUGUCUUUAAUCAUUUCUGUGCAUGGCUGCAUAAUGUAAUGCCGAAAUACACAAUAAUAUGUUUUGAAUUUUAAAAAGUAAAUUAAAAUAAAUCACUAUUGUUUUCUAAAGUAUGUUUUCA
Cyprinus carpio (common carp) is the source of this 3135-nucleotide long non-coding RNA. The record is from Ensembl. Lineage: Eukaryota; Metazoa; Chordata; Actinopteri; Cypriniformes; Cyprinidae.